This 69-nucleotide transfer RNA is filed under the name Paenibacillus allorhizosphaerae. RNAcentral describes it as "Paenibacillus sp. JJ-447 tRNA-Val". The record is from RNAcentral. Lineage: Bacteria; Bacillati; Bacillota; Bacilli; Caryophanales; Paenibacillaceae.
CUUAGCUCAGCUGGGAGAGCAUUACCUUGACAGGGUAAGGGUCGGCGGUUCGAUCCCAUUGGCUCCGCC